Molecule: ribosomal RNA, 460 nt
Filed under: uncultured bacterium
Lineage: Bacteria
Description: partial 16S ribosomal RNA
Rfam family: Bacterial small subunit ribosomal RNA
Source: RNAcentral
CCUACGGGAGGCAGCAGUGAGGAAUAUUGGUCAAUGGACGGAAGUCUGAACCAGUCAUGCCGCGUGCAGGAAGACGGCUCUAUGAGUUGUAAACUGCUUUUGUACAAGGGUAAACCUGAAUACGUGUAUUCUGCUGAAAGUACCGUACGAAUAAGGAUCGGCUAACUCCGUGCCAGCAGCCGCGGUAAUACGGAGGAUCCAAGCGUUAUCCGGAUUUAUUGGGUUUAAAGGGUGCGUAGGCGGAUUGAUAAGUUAGAGGUGAAAUGUCCGAGCUUAACUCGGUAAGUGCCUCUAAUACUGUUGAUCUAGAGAGUAGGUGCGGUAGGCGGAAUGUAUGGUGUAGCGGUGAAAUGCUUAGAGAUCAUACAGAACACCGAUUGCGAAGGCAGCUUACCAAUCUAUAUCUGACGUUGAGGCACGAAAGCGUGGGGAGCAAACAGGAUUAGAUACCCCAGUAGUC